RNAcentral lists this unclassified non-coding RNA (338 nucleotides) under soil metagenome. RNAcentral describes it as "partial contains 5.8S ribosomal RNA, internal transcribed spacer 2, and large subunit ribosomal RNA". The stretch from base 1 to 120 matches the Rfam family "5.8S ribosomal RNA", at positions 35 to 154 of the family's 154-position model. The record is from RNAcentral.
GAUGAAGAACGUAGCGAAAUGCGAUAAGUAGUGUGAAUUGCAGAAUUCAGUGAAUCAUCGAAUCUUUGAACGCACAUUGCGCCCUUUGGUAUUCCUUAGGGCAUGCCUGUUCGAGCGUCAUUUAAACCUUCAAGCUCAGCUUGGUGUUGGGUGACUGUCCGCCGCCUCCGGGCGGUCGGACUCGCCUCAAAUUGAUUGGCGGCCGGUACUUUGGCUUCGAGCGCAGCAGAAACGCGAACUCGAGGCCGUCGUCCUGGCUCCCAGAAGCUAUCUUCACAAUUUUGACCUCGGAUCAGGUAGGGAUACCCGCUGAACUUAAGCAUAUCAAUAAGCGGGGA